AACUCAAUUCACAUUGUAUGUCUAAAUGUUUAUUGCUUCAGGAGCUCAAUUUGCCUUAGACACGUUUUCUUUUCUUUCUUUUUUUCUUCAGGAAUUGUCAAAACACGGUUGAUGAAAUAAAGGGAGAAGCAGACAGGAGCACCCGCUUAGUGAAGGGGGAAAAGCCAGCUUGCCUCAGAGGGCAGUGAAAACCCAGGGCAAGUCUUCGUGAAACAGAGACAAGAAUCAAUCAAAACAUCACAAGCUAAUUAAUGUCAUUUGGAGCGCUGGGAGCAGCUGUAUCACAGACUGAUGCUGAAGCUGAAGCUCCAAUACUUUGGCCACCUGAUGCAAAGAACUGACUCAUUGGAAAAGACCCUGAUGCUGGGAAAGAUUGAAGGCAGGAGGCUAAGGGGAUGACAGAGGACGAGAUCCUUGGAUGGCAUCACCGACUCGAUGGACAUGAGUUUGAGCAAGCUCCGGGAGUUGAUGAUGGACAGGGAAGCCUGGCAUGCUGCAGUCUGGCAUGCUGGCAUGCUGCAGAGCACUUGGAACUCUGCUCAAUGGGGGGCUGCAAAGAGUCAGACACGACUGAGUGACUGAACUGUACACAGAGGGCAUUUAAACCUAUGGCACUUGAUGAGAUUGUCCAGAAAAGAUACCACAGGGGGGAAAGAGGGCUCAGGAUCUAGCUCUCAGGUAGUGGUUCUCAGACUUAAGCCAGCAUUGGGAUCACCUGGAAGACUUGUCAAAACCAAUCCCCUGGGUCUCACCUUCUCCAGCAAACCGCCCUCCCCGCCCCAACCUCACAACAGAGUUUCUACUUCAUAGAUCUGGGUUGGGGGGGCAAGAAUCUGCAUUUCUUUUUUUUUUUUUAACUUUUUAUUUUGUAUUGGGGUAUAGCCUGUUAACAAUGUUGUGAUAGUUUGAGGUGAACAGUGAAGGGACUCAGCCUUCACAUAUACAUGUAUCCUUUCUCUCCCAAACUCCCCUCGUAUCCAGGCUGCCAUACAACAUUGAGCAGAGUUCCAGGUGCUAUACGGUAGGUCCUUGUUGGUUCUCCAUUUUAAGUAUAGCAGUGUGUACAUGUCCAUACCAAACUCCGUAACUAUCCCUUCCCCCCUUCCUUCCCCCCGGCAAUCAUAAGUUUGAGUUAUGAUUUCUGAUCAGUUCCCAGGAUGCUGAUACUGCUGAUCAGCGAGCAUCACUCUUCUGCCAACUGUGGCCUUGGCUCUGCUCCAGGCACCCUGGCCUCCCCGCCGCUGUUCUGACCCCUCAAACUCCAUCUGUUCCAGGGCCUUUGCGUGGCCCGCUGCCUGGAAUGUAGCUUCCCAGAUAUCAGUGCAAUCAAGUCCAAACCUUUUUCAGGUCCCUGCUCAAAUGUCACCUUCUUAAAGAGACUUUCUGACCAUCUUUUUUUUUUUUUCCCUAGUAAUGAGACAUGGAAGCAAGUUUUCUUUCUUUUUCAUAGUGGUCAUUCAGUUUUUCAAAUGCCAAACUCACUAUGAUCUAUGACCAUCUUUCUUAAGAAAGUAACUCCUCUCACUCACUCUCCUGCUUCUGCUUUUCACCCUCAUCCGUCCCUGUUUUGUUUUGUUUUUUCUCUAGGUUGCCCUUAUCACCUUCUAACAGACUAUAUGACUUAUUUACUUGUGUGUUUUGUUCAUUAUCAGUCCCUCCCAGGAGAGGAGGGAUUAUGUCUUUCUUUCUUUUUUUUUUUGGCUGACUCUCUCAAGCCUAGAACUGUCUGUGGCACAUAUCAAAUGUUCAAUAAAUAUUCAUUAAAGGAUUAAUUUAAUGAAGGAAUAAAGAUUCUUGCCUGUAGAAUUGUAGUUUUAAGAAUUUAAUUCUGGGACUUCCCUGGCAGUCCAGUGGUUAAGACUUUGCUUUCCAAUGCAGGGGGUGCAGGUUUGAUCCCUGAUCAGGGAACUAAGAUCCUGCAUGCCUCCUGGUCAAAAAACCAAAACGUGAAACAGAAGCAAUAUUAUAACAAAUUCAAUGAAGACUUUAAAAAUGGUCCAUAUCAAAAAGAACCUUUAAGAAAAGAAUUUAAUUCCAAUGGAAAUUCUUUAUAACUGGUUUCUUCCAUAUCAAAAAGGAAAUAUGAUCAUGUUGUUCCAUUCUGAGAGAAAAAAAAAAAUCUCUUCUCAUACCUGGGGGUGAAGUCAAAGAUCAUUGAUAUAUUCACCAGUAGGCACUGGCUGGGCUGGGACAUGACAGGAAACACACUCUGAGGUAGUUCCCAUCCUGUUGCCUACCUAGUUAACAACACUCUCUUGCUCUAUGACAAGCACCUGGUUAACAACACUCUCUUGCUCUAUACUAGCCUAUGCAUAUCUCUACCCACUUUAACUGUAACCAUUUCUGCAUUUGUCUGCAUGCCUCACUCAGGAUUUCCUCCAAGGUAGGAAUCAUGGUGGUGCUUAUUUUUUGUUUUUAUUUUAUAUGAAAUCCUCCAACUUUGUUCAUCUGUAUACAGUAUAUUUAAUGUUGCUUUAUCACUGUUUUUUGGCUAAGCAUUAUGAUCAUUAUCCAGUAGAUUUUUGAAGUGAAUCCAUUCAGCUAAUAAAAAACAGAAGAAGCAUCUGUGAUGGUAGGAAACAGCAUUUGAUCAGUGUUUAUAUGCAAUUCCCUAUAAUUGUUUUAAUAAAAGUGGCCUAAAUUAUAGUCAAUCUGAAGCUAUAAAUGAGCUCUGUCGCUCAUAAAUGAGCCAGGGCAAGUUGUGCACUGUGUAUGCACUGUUGGCAGUGUGGAACUUCUGCACUGCGUUCUGAAGAUGCCUAAAAGCAUUCAUGGAGGCCUACUGAAAACACUUAAUAAUCCUGCAGCUGUAAAUUCUAUCUUGAAAUGGAUAUUUUUCCAUCCCUCCUCUCAGUCUCUACUUAGUAAACUCUAAACCAUUUUGAUGUUGACUUUCCAAAACACAGGGUUCUUCCUUGGUUUAUAUUCUUUUAUAUUCUUCUUUAAUGGGGUCUUGGGAAGACCCUUAAGGGUGCUUUCUUGGAUUCCACCCUCUUUCUCACUCUAUCAAAAGUGCAAAAUAAGGAAAUAAACACUGUGGUCUGAAGAGCUGCUCUCAGGCAGAGCUGAGGAUGUGAAAGUCACUCAGUCAUGUCCAACUCUUUGUGAGCUCAUGAACUAAACAGUCCAUGGAAUACUCCAGGCCAGAAUAGUGGAGUGUAUAGCCAUUCCCUUCUCCAGGGGAUCUUCCCAACCCAGGGAUCAAAUCCAGGUCUUCCACAUUGCAGGCAGAUUCUUUACCAGCUGAGCUACCAGGGGAGCCUGAGGUAAGGAUCCUUGAGGGAAAUUUUGGUCUUGAGUUCUCAGUAGAAGAGUGGAUACAGCAGAGAGAAAGUAAAGUACCUUUAGAAUCCUCAGAUGAUGCCUUCUGUGCUAUUUGCAAAGAAAAUUCCCUUGGAAAUGGUUAUAACCUAAACUGGGAUCAGACAAUAAAAAUAAUAAUGGCUAUUAUUUAUUGAAUGGCACCAGGAACAUUAUGUGAAUCAUCUUUAAUUCCUGCAGCAACACUGUAAGUAGGUGUUGAGUCCAGCCCCAAGGCCACAGGUGGGAGGCCUUGCCCCAAGACCACAGAAGUGGAGCCCAGAACCAAGGCCACCUCUGAAAGUGUCUGAGCCUUGGUAACUGUUGCCAAAAGCCCUCUUGACCAUUGCCAGCAGGCUUCCUGACCCCAAACUAGGCAAAAAUGCCCACCCCAGUAGUCACUCUAUGGCACCCUAACCAAUCACCUACUACAAACCUUCCAGCAGGAAUUUUCUUUGUCUUGAGGUUAUAAAAAUUGGUUAUUAACCCACAAAAAAUGGUUGACUCUCCUUGGUCUGUCAGGAGGUUGACCCACUGCACUCUCAGU
Long non-coding RNA from Dama dama (fallow deer), 3847 nucleotides. RefSeq lists it as uncharacterized. The record is from RefSeq and is a predicted model, not a curated record. Lineage: Eukaryota; Metazoa; Chordata; Mammalia; Artiodactyla; Cervidae. The transcript is spliced from 3 exons.